Molecule: non-coding RNA, 29 nt
Filed under: Homo sapiens (human)
Lineage: Eukaryota; Metazoa; Chordata; Mammalia; Primates; Hominidae
Source: RNAcentral
UGCCGAAUGAAGCUGAGCGUCUCAGUGGA